GACGAAGGGAGCGAGCGUUGUUCGGAAUCACUGGGCUUAAAGGGCGCGUAGGCGGGCUGUCAAGUCUGGGGUGAAAUCCCGCGGCUCAACCGUGGAACUGCCUCAGAUACUGACGGCCUCGAGGGAGAUAGGGGCGAGCGGAACUAAUGGUGGAGCGGUGAAAUGCGUUGAUAUCAUUAGGAACUCCGGUGGCGAAGGCGGCUCGCUGGAUCUCUUCUGACGCUGAGGCGCGAAAGCUAGGGGAGCAAACGGG
This 253-nucleotide ribosomal RNA is filed under the name uncultured bacterium. RNAcentral describes it as "partial 16S ribosomal RNA". It matches the Rfam family "Bacterial small subunit ribosomal RNA", at positions 524 to 776 of the family's 1533-position model. The record is from RNAcentral.